RNAcentral lists this non-coding RNA (29 nucleotides) under Homo sapiens (human). The record is from RNAcentral. Lineage: Eukaryota; Metazoa; Chordata; Mammalia; Primates; Hominidae.
UGAUCUGUCUAAUGUUGACAGUAGGGUGU